GAUGAACGCUGGCGGCGUGCCUAACACAUGCAAGUCGAGCGAUUUACUUCGGUAAAGAGCGGCGGACGGGUGAGUAACGCGUGGGUAACCUGCCCUGUACACACGGAUAACAUACCGAAAGGUAUGCUAAUACGAGAUAAUAUACUUUUAUCGCAUGGUAGAAGUAUCAAAGCUUUUGCGGUACAGGAUGGACCCGCGUCUGAUUAGCUAGUUGGUAAGGUAACGGCUUACCAAGGCAACGAUCAGUAGCCGACCUGAGAGGGUGAUCGGCCACAUUGGAACUGAGCCACGGUCCAAACUCCUACGGGAGGCAGCAGUGGGGAAUAUUGCACAAUGGGCGAAAGCCUGAUGCAGCAACGCCGCGUGAGCGAUGAAGGCCUUCGGGUCGUAAAGCUCUGUCCUCAAGGAAGAUAAUGACGGUACUUGAGGAGGAAGCCCCGGCUAACUACGUGCCAGCAGCCGCAGUAA
This 468-nucleotide ribosomal RNA is filed under the name uncultured bacterium. Its description in RNAcentral is "partial 16S ribosomal RNA". It matches the Rfam family "Bacterial small subunit ribosomal RNA", at positions 28 to 523 of the family's 1533-position model. The record is from RNAcentral.